RNAcentral lists this ribosomal RNA (253 nucleotides) under uncultured prokaryote. Its description in RNAcentral is "partial 16S ribosomal RNA". It matches the Rfam family "Bacterial small subunit ribosomal RNA", at positions 524 to 776 of the family's 1533-position model. The record is from RNAcentral.
UACGAAGGGUGCGAGCGUUGUUCGGAAUGACUGGGCGUAAAGGGUUCGUAGGCGGGAAGAUAAGUUAAGUGUGAAAUCCCUGGGCUCAACCUAGGACGUGCACUUAAAACUGUUUUUCUUGAGUGUUGGAGAGGGCAGUGGAAUUGCUGGUGUAGGAGUGACAUCCGUAGAGAUCAGCAGGAACACCUGAGGCGAAGGCGACUGCCUGGCCAAACACUGACGCUGAGGAACGAAAGCGUGGGGAGCAAACAGG